This is a long non-coding RNA of Syngnathoides biaculeatus (alligator pipefish), 2699 nucleotides long. RefSeq lists it as uncharacterized. The transcript is spliced from 2 exons. The record is from RefSeq and is a predicted model, not a curated record. Lineage: Eukaryota; Metazoa; Chordata; Actinopteri; Syngnathiformes; Syngnathidae.
CAGCCCAAAACACUCGAGAGGAGGAAGAGGAGGAGGGAGUCGGUGUGAAGAAAGCAUUUGGGCGGAGCGGCCUUUCAUCGUUUUAUGAAAUGACACACGAGGCCUUCACAUGACAUCUUGCUACUUGGGAGACACUUUUGUGGGGUGAGAGGAAGACCUCCCUUCAGAACUGAUGGCCAUGCAAACACAUUCACACAAUGUGGAGGAUUCCAUAAAGCUAAUGUCAAGGUUUUUUUUUUUUUUUUUUUUUUUGGUCGGAGGAAUUAAAAUAUGUAAAAUGGGAAAAAACAACAUGUCAUAAAAAAUGUGGUCAACUAAUUUUUGCACUUGUGAGCCUUGACAGUGCGAUGUGAUCUAAAACAUCAGGCUUCUAUUUUUGACAUAAAAAAUUAAUUGAAAACAUUUUUCAAGCUUUUGUCAUAAAAAAUGUUACAAACCUUGCACUACUUUUAGAUUUCAUUUUUCACCUUUUUCUCUUGUACCAGAUGACGCUUUUUUCCCCCACUCAAAUGACAGGUACAUGUUCUAUCACUGUCACCUGCAUAUGUAAUAAAAGUUUGCGUUUGAUCUAUAAUUGCAUUUUCAAUGCAAGAGAGAAAAUCUUCCAACAUACAGAACCGCAUUGAAUAUUUGUGGUGAUGAGCAGGAAUGAAUGUCAUACAUUUGUCUCCAAAACAAGAACAUGAUUCAUAAAAGCAAGAUUUAAUUUACAGUUUUACUAAAUGUACAUUUCUUUUUAAAAAGUAUCCUUAUACACAAUAAAUACAAUACAAAAUUAAUCUGUAAUACGAUACUUCAAAUUCUCUUGCGGUCUUUUUUUUUGUACAUUAUUAUUGUUCCUUUUGCAUUUUUCACUCUCUGCCACCCCACAGUUUAUGUACGUUUGUGCUGCACUUGAGUUGGAAAAGUCCACAGGGCUUGGAUUUAAAAAAAAAAAAAAAAAUGUAAUCACAAAAGAGGGGAAGGGGGAGAAGUGUGAGUUUAAGGAUGAGCCUGGCCUGCCCCCUGUUGACUGAACUCUAUCGUGGCUUCAGAGUUUGGAGGUGAUACAAGGUCCAAAUAACUUGCUGUAGAAUCUAGAUGUUUUGACGUCUGAUGUUUUGUUUUAACUUUGAUAACUAUGAAUCCAAUCCUGCUUUCUGGGGCUUGAAACGUGAUUUAUUUCCAUAGGGCUUGUGCUACAUGCUCAUAAGUUUGUACGACACUAUUUUGGAAAGGUCGACGUUUUAAACUGUGAUUCCCAACCACUGUGCCAAGAGCUCAACAAACAUGCUGGGUAAGUUUAUGUAAUUUAACAAAUGGUCCAAAAAUGAUAAUUUCAUUUCUAAAAAUUGAUAUUUUUUUCCAUCUAUGUCAACAACAGGCAAAACUAAUGUUCUACCACUAGAUGUCAGAAGGUAGCUUUGUGUCGGACUAAACACGGCAGAUUUAACAUGCGUAAAUUGAGAAGUGAUCAACAAUAAAUUUACUUUUGGUGGAGUUUGUGUUUGGUGCUGAGCCAUGAGAUUUUUUGAUUUUUUUUUUAAUUUCAACUUGCUUUGGUCAAUUUUUGGUCACAUUUAAAGUUAGGAAUCACUCUAUUCGAGCAUCAAGAAUAAAAAGACCCUUUUAAUUUGCAACCCAUAUUUUUUUCCAGGUAGCUUCUCAGUAAACCUUUCAAAAGUCCACUUUCAGAGGUAGAAGCAGGGCUGCUACACAAGCGUUAAUAAAUGGUGAAUCCCGGAAUGGCAGGACUGGGGUGUGAAGUUCACACUCGCCUGCCACUUCUCCCACCUGUUAUAAUGAAAGCAAUGAUGAUGAAAAGUAUUUUAGAGUGGGUUCUCUGUUGAAAAACAAAGGGGGCCUUUUGAGGAAUCUUGCCCUGUGAGAUUUUUUCCAAUGUAAAAAUACAAGAUUCAUUAGGGGUAUUGGGCCUUCAAGUCAAAUUUUAGGAUGAACCCAAAAUGCCUUUUCCCUUAAUAAGCUUCAUCGGUAAAUUAAUUUGACUGUGUAAACUUUGAAUGCAUUGUUACUUGCUGUUGCAUAACUUGCUCUUCUAUAACAAGGAGCUGAACAAAACAAUUCACAUCCAUUGGCCAAUCAGGUUUCCGUAUCUCGACUGCAACCUCCUGAUAAGAGCGAGGUUCUGUUGCUUAAAUGUUAGUCUUCAUGGUGCCAAAAUAUGAACAGAAUGAUGAAAAGGACUGAAAAAACAAAUCUACAUGAACCAUAACCCUCAUUAGAAAAAACGCAGAGACGGAAAGGCACAGAAGUGGAUGUCCUUGGGAAUUUUCUGAGCUGCUUAACCUCACAAGGGUUGCGGGCGUGCUGGAGCCUAUCCCAGCUGUCUAUGUAGACCCUGAACUAGUUAACAGCCCAUCAGAGGCAAUUUUUAUGAAUCAUAAAUUGAUUUUAUUAUUCAGCUCCUUGUGAGAAAACACCAAGUUGUGCAAAAAGUACUGUUGGACAUUGAAAAGUUUAGAGGUAGGGUUAAAGUCAAAAGUUUAUGGUGCAUUUUAGGUUCAUCCUGAAAUUUUAACUGAGUAAUAAACAUACCGGUACUUCUUGUGAUCUUUUCCAUUUGGUGUUGUAGCACGAUAUUUUUGAAAAUGUAAAAUAUAUGCCUUGGAUUACUAAGGCUUGGUAACUAUGAUUUAGAAACACGGGCGGGGGGGGGAGAGAGAGAGAGAGAGAGAGAGAGAGAGAGAGAGAGAGAGAGA